AAAACUUGGGUAACAUUCUCAAUACAAAUAUUCUUAUUGCAUGCCAGCUAAAGUAGUAAAUUAUUGGUUUUCUCCUAAGACCACUGUUUAAUUGGGGCGAUAA
This 103-nucleotide ribosomal RNA is filed under the name Symbiodinium sp. Its description in RNAcentral is "partial large subunit ribosomal RNA". The record is from RNAcentral. Lineage: Eukaryota; Dinophyceae; Suessiales; Symbiodiniaceae.